CUUGUUUACCAACGUCCCAAUACAUCUCUGUGCAACCUUCCCGGAUCACUGGGGCCCAAGAAUCUCUCAACUUCCACGUGCUCUUGGACCCCCUUCCUGGGGAUUGCAAACUGUGGGGCCCCAAGAGUGAUCCAGGUCCGGCUGUUAACACCACUCUGAAGAAGGGCCAGCCCACAGCUGGCAACCGCUGGCUCGUAGGCUGCAAGCCAUGGAAGGCGUGGGGUUUGGGAAAGGGAGCGUGCAGAGUGUGGGAUCCCGGCCUCUUGAGACGCCUUCUCUUAGAGGUUGGUGCUGUCAUCUUCAGUGAGAAGACAACCUGGGACACACCCAGGUGAGGCCCAAAGAAGUUAUUCUACUUGUGCAAGGUUUCAAAAAUGAGGAAGCAACAGAGUUAGAAUUCCAAUUCAAGUCUGACUCCCCAAACCAUCUCUUAAGCAGGAGUUGGCAAACUAUGGUCUGUGGGCCAAGUCCUACCUGC
This is a long non-coding RNA of Choloepus didactylus (southern two-toed sloth), 478 nucleotides long. RefSeq lists it as uncharacterized. NCBI's taxonomy places the organism in Eukaryota, Metazoa, Chordata, Mammalia, Pilosa, Megalonychidae. The transcript has 3 exons. The record is from RefSeq and is a predicted model, not a curated record.